This 290-nucleotide small RNA is filed under the name Pongo abelii (Sumatran orangutan). RNAcentral's name for it is "processed transcript". The record is from RNAcentral. Lineage: Eukaryota; Metazoa; Chordata; Mammalia; Primates; Hominidae.
CCUCAGCCUGCUCAACGUGAAGAUGAUGAGGAUGAAGACCUUUAUGAUGAUCCACUUCUACUUAUUAAAUACUGAUGUGGUCCUGCUCUGUCCCAGUCUAGCAGCUUAAGUGUACGGAAAAAUUGAACUAGGAAUUGUUUUGAAGAAAUAAAGGUGUAAGAGCAAACAUUCAACAGUUGCUGUCCCCAGUAAUGAAGUUCAUAUGACAAAAGAUGGCAUGUCACUAUACAUCAUACCUUGCAAUAAAUAUUCUGUUAAAUUGUGCUGGUGCAAUUUAACAUGCUUUUGUC